RNAcentral lists this ribosomal RNA (751 nucleotides) under uncultured bacterium. RNAcentral's name for it is "bacterial SSU rRNA". It matches the Rfam family "Bacterial small subunit ribosomal RNA", at positions 59 to 804 of the family's 1533-position model. The record is from RNAcentral.
CAGUCGAACGGAGAUAUUCGCUGAUGAAGUACUUCGGUAAUGAAUCUUGGAUAUCUUAGUGGCGGACGGGUGAGUAACGCGUGAGCAACCUGCCUUUCAGAGGGGGAUAACGUUUGGAAACGAACGCUAAUACCGCAUGACAUUAUCUUAUCGCAUGGUAGGAUAAUCAAAGGAGCAAUCCGCUGAAAGAUGGGCUCGCGUCCGAUUAGGUAGUUGGUGGGGUAACGGCCCACCAAGCCGACGAUCGGUAGCCGGACUGAGAGGUUGGACGGCCACAUUGGGACUGAGACACGGCCCAGACUCCUACGGGAGGCAGCAGUAAGGGAUAUUGGUCAAUGGGGGAAACCCUGAACCAGCAACGCCGCGUGAGGGAAGACGGUUUUCGGAUUGUAAACCUCUGUCCUCUGUGAAGAUGAUGACGGUAGCAGAGGAGGAAGCUCCGGCUAACUACGUGCCAGCAGCCGCGGUAAUACGUAGGGAGCGAGCGUUGUCCGGAUUUACUGGGUGUAAAGGGUGCGUAGGCGGCUUGGCAAGUCAGUAGUGAAAUCCAUGGGCUUAACCCAUGAACUGCUAUUGAAACUGUCGAGCUUGAGUGAAGUAGAGGUAGGCGGAAUUCCCGGUGUAGCGGUGAAAUGCGUAGAGAUCGGGAGGAACACCAGUGGCGAAGGCGGCCUACUGGGCUUUAACUGACGCUGAGGCACGAAAGCGUGGGUAGCAAACAGGAUUAGAUACCCUGGUAGUCCACGCUGUA